UACGUAGGUGGCAAGCGUUGUCCGGAUUUACUGGGCGUAAAGAGCGCGCAGGCGGUCGUUCAAGUCGCGUGUGAAAGCCCUCGGCUCAACUGGGGAGGGUCACGCGAUACUGAUCGACUCGAAGGCAGGAGAGGGUAGUGGAAUUCCCGGUGUAGUGGUGAAAUGCGUAGAUAUCGGGAGGAACACCAGUGGCGAAGGCGACUACCUGGGCUGUUUCUUGACGCUGAUGCACGAAAGCUGGGGGAGCAAACAGG
Molecule: ribosomal RNA, 254 nt
Filed under: uncultured bacterium
Lineage: Bacteria
Description: partial 16S ribosomal RNA
Rfam family: Bacterial small subunit ribosomal RNA
Source: RNAcentral